GAUGAACGCUGGCGGCGUGCCUAACACAUGCAAGUCGAGCGAAGCGAUUUUUAAGAAGUUUUCGGAUGGAUUAAAGAUUGACUGAGUGGCGGACGGGUGAGUAACGCGUGGGUAACCUGCCUCACACUGGGGGACAACAGUUAGAAAUGACUGCUAAUACCGCAUAAGCGCACAGUACCGCAUGGUACGGUGUGAAAAACUCCGGUGGUGUGAGAUGGACCCGCGUCUGAUUAGCUAGUUGGUGGGGUAACGGCCUACCAAGGCAACGAUCAGUAGCCGACCUGAGAGGGUGACCGGCACAUUGGGACUGAGACACGGGCCCAAACUCCUACGGGAGGCAGCAGUGGGGAAUAUUGCACAAUGGGGGAAACCCUGAUGCAGCGACGCCGCGUGAGUGAAGAAGUAUUUCGGGUAUGUAAAGCU
RNAcentral lists this ribosomal RNA (423 nucleotides) under uncultured bacterium. RNAcentral's name for it is "bacterial SSU rRNA". It matches the Rfam family "Bacterial small subunit ribosomal RNA", at positions 28 to 432 of the family's 1533-position model. The record is from RNAcentral.